UACGUAGGGUGCAAGCGUUGUCCGGAAUUAUUGGGCGUAAAGAGCUCGUAGGCGGUCUGUCGCGUCGGCUGUGAAAUCCCGAGGCUCAACCUCGGGUCUGCAGUCGAUACGGGCAAACUAGAGUAUUGCAGGGGAGACUGGAAUUCCUGGUGUAGCGGUGAAAUGCGCAGAUAUCAGGAGGAACACCGGUGGCGAAGGCGGGUCUCUGGGCAAUAACUGACGCUGAGGAGCGAAAGCGUGGGGGAGCGAACCGG
This 254-nucleotide ribosomal RNA is filed under the name uncultured bacterium. RNAcentral's name for it is "partial 16S ribosomal RNA". It matches the Rfam family "Bacterial small subunit ribosomal RNA", at positions 524 to 776 of the family's 1533-position model. The record is from RNAcentral.